AUCCUGGCUCAGGAUGAACGCUAGCGACAGGCUUAACACAUGCAAGUCAAGGGGCAGCGGGGUUGUAGCAAUACAACUGCCGGCGACCGGCGCACGGGUGAGUAACACGUAUGUAACCUGCCCUCUGCAGGGGGAUAAGCGGAAGAAAUUCCGUCUAAUACCGCAUAAUACAAUUUGGAGACAUCUCCGGGUUGUCAAAGGAGUGAUCCGGCAGAGGAUGGACAUGCGGCGCAUUAGCUAGUCGGCGGGGUAACGGCCCACCGAGGCUACGAUGCGUAGGGGUUCUGAGAGGAAGGUCCCCCACACUGGUACUGAGACACGGACCAGACUCCUACGGGAGGCAGCAGUGAGGAAUAUUGGUCAAUGGGCGGAAGCCUGAACCAGCCAAGUCGCGUGAGGGAAGACGGUCCUAUGGAUUGUAAACCUCUUUUGCAGGGGAGCAAGGCGCGGUACGUGUACCGCGAAGGAGAGUACCCUGAGAAAAAGCAUCGGCUAACUCCGUGCCAGCAGCCGCGGUAAUACGGAGGAUGCGAGCGUUAUCCGGAUUUAUUGGGUUUAAAGGGUGCGCAGGCGGACUGUUAAGUCAGCGGUAAAAUGUCGGUGCUCAACACCGGCCGGCCGUUGAAACUGGCAGCCUUGAGUGAGCGAGAAGUAUGCGGAAUGCGUGGUGUAGCGGUGAAAUGCAUAGAUAUCACGCAGAACUCCGAUUGCGAAGGCAGCAUACCGGCGCUCAACUGACGCUCAGGCACGAAAGCGUGGGUAUCGAACAGGCUUAGAUACCCUGGUAGUCCACGCAGUAAACGAUG
RNAcentral lists this ribosomal RNA (806 nucleotides) under uncultured bacterium. RNAcentral's name for it is "bacterial SSU rRNA". It matches the Rfam family "Bacterial small subunit ribosomal RNA", at positions 16 to 811 of the family's 1533-position model. The record is from RNAcentral.